Molecule: ribosomal RNA, 371 nt
Filed under: Salmonella enterica subsp. enterica serovar 4,[5],12:i:-
Lineage: Bacteria; Pseudomonadati; Pseudomonadota; Gammaproteobacteria; Enterobacterales; Enterobacteriaceae
Description: bacterial SSU rRNA
Rfam family: Bacterial small subunit ribosomal RNA
Source: RNAcentral
AAAUUGAAGAGUUUGAUCAUGGCUCAGAUUGAACGCUGGCGGCAGGCCUAACACAUGCAAGUCGAACGGUAACAGGAAGCAGCUUGCUGCUUCGCUGACGAGUGGCGGACGGGUGAGUAAUGUCUGGGAAACUGCCUGAUGGAGGGGGAUAACUACUGGAAACGGUGGCUAAUACCGCAUAACGUCGCAAGACCAAAGAGGGGGACCUUCGGGCCUCUUGCCAUCAGAUGUGCCCAGAUGGGAUUAGCUAGUUGGUGAGGUAACGGCUCACCAAGGCGACGAUCCCUAGCUGGUCUGAGAGGAUGACCAGCCACACUGGAACUGAGACACGGUCCAGACUCCUACGGGAGGCAGCAGUGGGGAAUAUUGCA